ACAUGGUGUUGCCAUGUUUGAUCAUAUUUUCACUGAUCUUUAUGUUGGAUAAACAGUACAAAACAUUUCUACUGAUCGGCUGCAGAAAGAGACUGUGUGGGAGAGGUUUUCUUAUAUCAGCUUGUAUUUGAACACUUUAAUGACAUCUUUGUUGUGGGUUGUGUCUGCACUGUUGGAUGGGGACUGGGACGUCUGCUGCACAAACCACAUCACUAAGGAGAAUGCAACACUUCCAUGUAAGGAAAAUCUCAAUUUGGAAGAGAUCUACGAGAUCAAGAGCUGGUCACCUCUGCACUGUGGAUUGCUGGAAUCCUCUUGGAUGGGGACUGGUUCAUCUGCUGUAGCAACAUCUUCAGUAAAGAGAACUUAACACUUCCAUGCAAGAACCCGGAAGAUCUCAGCGUUGUUGAGAUAGCAAUCAUCUCUGAUAUCAAGAAUCAGUCACUUAAGUGGGGAUUGAUUGUGACCAUAAUCCUCAUCGGUGUACAGUCAAUGGGAACAAUCUUCUUAUCAUGUUUUGAGUCGCGAGGAUGUACUUCUGACAUCAGUGAUUCAAGAUACAGGAUGAUGUAUGAAACCAUACUUUUGAAUGAGACAGAAACCCAAGUAAAAAAGAUGUUUGAAGAUGCAGCUAAGAAAAAUGCAUCUGAGUGGAUUGAGACAUUAAAAAAGAGUCGUCCCUUAAACUGGAACGAAAUUGCUAAAUUUUCUAAUGUAACUAGUGAUGUUUAUUUUCCAUCACUUGGGAUAGAAGAAGAUAAAAAAGAAGAAAACGAAGAAGAAAAUGAAGAAGGAACAGCAUUAAAUACCUUAAAUAAAUAAAUAGCAACAAAACACAAUAUUGAAAAUACAGCUCAAAUAAAAUCUGAUAAAGUUAAUUAAACGCAUUGUGAAAUCUCAAAUUAUUGUGAAUAUAACAGGAGUUAAAAGGUGAUUCCCUGACACAGAGUUUGCAUCAAAUUUUUCAAAAUUUCAUUUUUAAAAACUGUUUAAGCUGUCCUUUUUAGAGCUUGACUUUCAUCAAAAGUCAUAUCUGUUCAUGGAAAAAACUAUGUAACUAACCCUUAACCCUCGUGCUGCCUUCGGGUCACAUGACCCAAAGGUUCAUAACGAACCAUCGUUGUGUUUACCCGAU
This is a long non-coding RNA of Osmerus eperlanus (European smelt), 1135 nucleotides long. RefSeq lists it as uncharacterized. Lineage: Eukaryota; Metazoa; Chordata; Actinopteri; Osmeriformes; Osmeridae. The transcript has 3 exons. The record is from RefSeq and is a predicted model, not a curated record.